GCAGGCUUAACACAUGCAAGUUGAACGUGAUUUGCUGGGUGCUUGCACCGAGCAAUGAAAGUAGCGCACUGGUGAGUAACACGUGGGAACGUACCUUUUGGUGGGGAACAACAGUUGGAAACGACUGCUAAUACCGCAUAAGCCCUGAGGGGGAAAGAUUUAUCGCCGAAAGAACGGCCCGCGGAAGAUUAGGUAGUUGGUGGGGUAACGGCCUACCAAGCCGACGAUCUAUAGCUGGUCUGAGAGGACGAUCAGCCACAUUGGAACUGAGACACGGUCCAAACUCCUACGGGAGGCAGCAGUGAGGAAUAUUGGGCAAUGGAGGCAACUCUGACCCAGCCAUGCCGCGUGAGUGAAGAAGGUUUUCGGAUUGUAAAGCUCUUUCGGGUGUGACGAUGAUGACGGUAGCACCUAAAGAAGCCCCGGCUAACUUCGUGCCAGCAGCCGCGGUAAUACGAAGGGGGCAAGCGUUGUUCGGAAUUACUGGGCGUAAAGGGAGUGUAGGCGGUUAUGUAAGAUAGUGGUGAAAUCCCAGAGCUUAACUUUGGAAUUGCCAUUAUGACUAUGUGGCUAGAAUUACAGAGAGGAUAGUGGAAUACCCAGUGUAGAGGUGAAAUUCGUAGAUAUUGGGUAGAACACCAGUGGCGAAGGCGACUAUCUGGCUGUAUAUUGACGCUGAGGCUCGAAAGCAUGGAAAUCAACCAGGAUUAGAUACCCUGGUAGUCCCAU
This 729-nucleotide ribosomal RNA is filed under the name uncultured bacterium. RNAcentral describes it as "bacterial SSU rRNA". It matches the Rfam family "Bacterial small subunit ribosomal RNA", at positions 42 to 798 of the family's 1533-position model. The record is from RNAcentral.